Molecule: transfer RNA, 63 nt
Filed under: Neopsylla specialis
Lineage: Eukaryota; Metazoa; Arthropoda; Insecta; Siphonaptera; Ctenophthalmidae
Also listed under: 1 other name
Description: tRNA-Asp
Source: RNAcentral
AAAGGUUUAGUUAAUUCAUAACAUUAGAAUGUCAAACUAAAAUAAUCAUUUUGAUAAUCUUUG